CCAGGUUGAUCUUUGGCUGAAUGAGACACCAAGAAGGAGUCGACGGUAUCGCUGCAAGUGUGAAGCAAGAUGGUAUAUCCUCACGACGUGCGGGUACCGUUCUGCAGAACCAGGCGCGUGGUCUCUCCGCAGUCACGGACGCGGUAAGGAAACCACGCCGAAUCUGGCGGUGCUUGCAGAGACCUGAAAAAAGAAAUUGCAGGACUGUGUUUACUCAGUACUACUGGUAUCCUAAAAGAGGCUGCGAGGAGCACACUAGUUGCUACCCUGGGGGUUUCGUAAACAGGAUUGACUGUAUAGAACAAUGUGGGCAUCUCAAGAACUUGAAGCUACCAGGCUAUGGAAACCGCCCUAGGCAUGGCAACUAAAGAGGGGAGUGCCACAUGCAUUGUCAAUUGACAGUAAUAAAUCGAUGUAAUUC
Dermacentor albipictus is the source of this 421-nucleotide long non-coding RNA. RefSeq lists it as uncharacterized. Lineage: Eukaryota; Metazoa; Arthropoda; Arachnida; Ixodida; Ixodidae. The record is from RefSeq and is a predicted model, not a curated record.